GACGAACGCUGGCGGCGUGCUUAACACAUGCAAGUCGAGCGAUGAAAUCCUUUCGGGGAUGGAUUAGCGGCGGACGGGUGAGUAACACGUGGGUAACCUGCCUCAUAGAGGGGAAUAGCCUUCCGAAAGGAAGAUUAAUACCGCAUAAGAUUGUAGCUUCGCAUGAAGCAGCAAUUAAAGGAGCAAUCCGCUAUGAGAUGGACCCGCGUCGCAUUAGCUAGUUGGUGAGGUAACGGCUCACCAAGGCGACGAUGCGUAGCCGACCUGAGAGGGUGAUCGGCCACAUUGGGACUGAGACACGGCCCAGACUCCUACGGGAGGCAGCAGUGGGGAAUAUUGCACAAUGGGGGAAACCCUGAUGCAGCAACGCCGCGUGAGUGAUGACGGUCUUCGGAUUGUAAAACUCUGUCUUCAGGGACGAUAAUGACGGUACCUGAGGAGGAAGCCACGGCUAACUACGUGCCAGCCGCCGCCGUAA
Molecule: ribosomal RNA, 478 nt
Filed under: uncultured bacterium
Lineage: Bacteria
Description: partial 16S ribosomal RNA
Rfam family: Bacterial small subunit ribosomal RNA
Source: RNAcentral